CCCACCAUAGUUUAUUAAAACCUCGACCUGCAAAAUCGAAAAUGGAGAAUGUCCUGGUGUGU
This 62-nucleotide transfer RNA is filed under the name Leucosyrinx sp. MNHN IM 2013-19304. Its description in RNAcentral is "tRNA-Cys". Lineage: Eukaryota; Metazoa; Mollusca; Gastropoda; Neogastropoda; Turridae. The record is from RNAcentral.